GCCCGAGUCGAUCUGCUGGUGACCAUUGGAAACCGCGAUCGAGUAGAACUCGCC
RNAcentral lists this small RNA (54 nucleotides) under Sinorhizobium meliloti 2011. RNAcentral's name for it is "putative ncRNA". Lineage: Bacteria; Pseudomonadati; Pseudomonadota; Alphaproteobacteria; Hyphomicrobiales; Rhizobiaceae. The record is from RNAcentral.